Sander lucioperca (pikeperch) is the source of this 103-nucleotide long non-coding RNA. RefSeq lists it as uncharacterized. The record is from RefSeq and is a predicted model, not a curated record. NCBI's taxonomy places the organism in Eukaryota, Metazoa, Chordata, Actinopteri, Perciformes, Percidae. The transcript is spliced from 3 exons.
CAGGGCUCAAAUUAGCACCAGCCACCAGACGAAUGCUGGUGAAAUAUGCAAAUGGCUGGUAGAUUUCCUUCACUCACCAGCCAAAUAACCCUAUUUUAAUCUG